RNAcentral lists this ribosomal RNA (490 nucleotides) under uncultured bacterium. Its description in RNAcentral is "partial 16S ribosomal RNA". It matches the Rfam family "Bacterial small subunit ribosomal RNA", at positions 28 to 507 of the family's 1533-position model. The record is from RNAcentral.
GAUGAACGCUAGCUACAGGCUUAACACAUGCAAGUCGCGGGGCAGCAUGGGGGUUGCUUGCACUCCCCGAUGGCGACCGGCGCACGGGUGAGUAACGCGUAUCCAACCUGCCCUUCACCACGGGAUAACCCGGCGAAAGUAGGACUAAUACCGUAAGUUGCCCAUUGACGGCGUCCGAUUUCGUCGAAAGGUGUGGCGGUGAAUGAUGGGGUUGCGUCUGAUUUGCUGGGCGGCGGGGUGACGGCCCACCGUGGCGACGAUCGGUAGGGGUGCUGAGAGGAAGGUCCCCCACACUGGAACUGAGACACGGUCCAGACUCCUACGGGAGGCAGCAGUGAGGAAUAUUGGUCAAUGGGCGUAAGCCUGAACCAGCCAAGUAGCGUGCAGGAUGACGGCCCUAUGGGUUGUAAACUGCUUUUAUGCGGGGAUAAAGUGGCCCACGUGUGGGUUUUUGCAGGUACCGCAUGAAUAAGGACCGGCUAAUUCCGUG